AUCAUUUACAAAAAAUUACUUGGCACCAUGAAGGGUCAAUUAGCUCAUUCAAGAUUAAACCAAGAAUGAAGGGUACCAUCUCCUAACUCCUUGGUUCAUCUGGGAUGAAGGUAUUGCCUCCAGAGGUUAAUAUAUAGCCAGUGUCUAAAAUUUCCUGUCGUUUUAUUUUCAUGGAGGAUGGAUUUUUGAAAAUUAAGUCCACUGAGCAAAGCUGGAAGUAUACAAAGCCUCCAGCACUGCCCAUGAUGUCAACACAGAGCGAGGGAUGAGCAUAAGGUAUUGUCUUCUGCAUGUCACAACUUUGUUUCUUCCUUGGAAAUGGAGAAAUAUGCAUGCAAAUGAGCCUAAGUAAACAUCCUGUGAUUGCUGUUUCA
Molecule: long non-coding RNA, 374 nt
Organism: Leopardus geoffroyi (Geoffroy's cat)
Lineage: Eukaryota; Metazoa; Chordata; Mammalia; Carnivora; Felidae
Exons: 2
Source: RefSeq, a predicted model, not a curated record